Molecule: transfer RNA, 72 nt
Filed under: Phrynosoma platyrhinos (Desert horned lizard)
Lineage: Eukaryota; Metazoa; Chordata; Lepidosauria; Squamata; Phrynosomatidae
Description: tRNA-OTHER
Rfam family: tRNA (bases 9-72)
About the family: Transfer RNA (tRNA) molecules are approximately 80 nucleotides in length. Their secondary structure includes four short double-helical elements and three loops (D, anti-codon, and T loops).
Source: RNAcentral
GCCAGCAUGGUGUAGUGGUUUAAGCAUUGGACUACAAAUCUGGAGACCAGGGUUCGAAUCCCUGCUCAUCCA